UUUAAAUCCUCUGCAACAAUUCAAUGUUAUUAUAAACUGUAAGUGGAGACAAUGGAUCAGUUAAACUUACACACAAAUGCCUUGUAUUUUGGAUUAUGGAUGAAACGGAUCAUCAUUUCAACUACGACGCCGCUCUGACCGACACAUCACAGCGUCACGUGUCUGUUCGCUGCCACCAGAGGUCGCCACACACCACACUCACUGUUUCACCGUGGACUCCAUCUCCCAAGAUCCCCUCUGAUUACACCUUCACCUGUUGCCUAUCACCCAGUCACUAUUUAAGCCUCACUCCACAUUACUCAGUAUUGUUUGUUUUUGAGCCUUACCUUGUGUUUGUUGGAUUGCAAUGUUUGGAUUACCCUUAAAUAAAGCUACACUUGGAUCAGACCCCAGACCCCGUUUCUUACAAGCAUCAUGACACAGAACAUUUCUCAAGGAGAAAAAAAUCACACAUAUUUAAGAUGAUUUGAGGAAAGCUGAGACUGCACGUUCCAGAAAACACUGACUGCUUACAACGCUGACCUGACACUUGCUGCUUAGUUUUUUACCCUAACAUUUUGAAUUUGAUCUGGCAGCAAAAUGUAGACUUUUACUACAAAUUAAUAAAGAGAUUUGAUGCAGGUGCUAUUAUGAGACUUAUAAUUUAAAUGUCCACAUAUUGUUAAUACAUUUAUCUGUUUACAUAUGGACUGUGUAAGGGAGCGCUUCAAAAAUAUAUCUUACAAAAGUCA
Molecule: long non-coding RNA, 731 nt
Organism: Triplophysa dalaica
Lineage: Eukaryota; Metazoa; Chordata; Actinopteri; Cypriniformes; Nemacheilidae
Exons: 2
Source: RefSeq, a predicted model, not a curated record